Molecule: ribosomal RNA, 5255 nt
Filed under: Triticum aestivum (bread wheat)
Lineage: Eukaryota; Viridiplantae; Streptophyta; Magnoliopsida; Poales; Poaceae
Description: partial small subunit ribosomal RNA
Source: RNAcentral
GCCCAUCCACCCACCUCCUGGUGGUCGCCCGUCCCAUUGGCGCAUCUCGCCCCCGUUCGGCGGCGGCGGCGGCGUAGAUCCGGCGUGGCGUUGCGCCCCCGUUCCUCGCCCCUCGUCGCUCCGCAGCGCCCGCGCUCCCCAAGGCCGCAGCACGCGAGCGGCGCGGCCUUCGUUGGUUAUUGAAGAAACAACACUCCGCCGUUCUGAAGAAAUGAGUGCGUGUAAGAAGGCCAGGGCGGAAGCUACAUAUGUUGUGAGUUCAGACAGACUUAGCAGUCUACCUCCAGAGUUAAAGGGCGACAUCCUUUCCCGUCUGAAUGUCGAAGAAGCGGUUAAGACUAGCACCUUAUCAAGUACUUGGAGGGAUGCAUGGACUAAUAUGCCAAAAAUAUUUCUGCGCGAUGGAAAUUUUGCAAGAACCAAGUUCGUCACAUUAGUUGAUAUGGUGCUAUCACUCCACAACGGAACUGUAGAUAUGUUUGACAUUUCAGGUAGCAAAACUUACCAUGAUGAGUUCGGUAGGUGGAUGCGCAUGCUUUCUAGGAGAUCACCAAGAUCAGUUACAAUCAGGUUGAACUCAGGGCCAGGGUAUAGGAUUCCUUCAUGUCUAUUUUCUAUCGGCGAUUUGAGGGUUCUGCACCUGCAAAACUGCGUCAUCAGCUUGCCCCGGGUAUUCCAAGGUUUCAAGAGAUUAACUCACCUGGACAUGAAAAAUUUCUCCUCCACAGACAUGGACAUCCAAAAUCUGGUCUCCUUCUGCCCCGUACUGAGUUGUUUGAAACUAGCUUCUUUUGAGGGCAUCAACUAUCUAAACGUUCAAGCUCCUAAACUGAAACGUCUUCAUGUUUUUGGGGACUUUGAAGACAUUAAUUUAGAUGCCCCUAAUUUGGAGGUGGCCAUUCUCUCUCUUGCUCAUGAAGCUAAAGCACAUCAAUCUGUUCCAAUUGCGCAUGACAUGGAAAGCCAUGUCAAGAAGUCAUUGGGAGACCUAAGUGGCAUCAAAACACUUGGAAUUAGUGGCAUUUUCAUGAAGUAUAUAUCAAAAUGGUGCAUACUUACAAAGUUCCCUGCCGUAUUUCAUCGCCUCGAGCAUAUUUAUCUUGUGAUAUGCUUUUGGGACCAGAGGCAAGUCUUGGCCACUUGUUCGCUGUUUCAGAAUGCCCCUAACUUAAAGAAGCUUGACAUGUGGGAUCACUCUUCGAGCGCAUUGGAUCAGGAUCAGGCGAGCAUUCAAGAGCUUACCAUGCAAGUGCAACUGGAUCAUCUCGUAACAGCCAGUGUGAAAGAUUUCAGGGGCCUGGACUGCGAAGUCAAUUUCCUGGCAAAGCUACUGAGUUGGGCGCCGGCUCUGGAAGAAGUGAAGAUAGAAUGGACGGGCAAAACAGAGUGCAGCAUGGUUCUUGCCAAGCUAUUAGCUCUGCCAAGGGUGUCUCCCAGGGCCAAGGUCAUUGUUACUUUUUUAUAAGCAUGCAUCCCUGCAGUCUACAGAGCAUCCCCCAUCACUUUGCCGGUUUAAUUUGCAGCCAAGUAGAACUAUUUCAGCUUUUUUUAUGCCAAGACUAGAUGGUGGUUAUAUAUGUGUGCAUUUGACACAAUUCAUCAGGCAGAGGGAGUACUUAAUGUGCUACUAUUAGCAAAUGUUUUCCUUUCUUGAGCCGGAGACACACAAGCCGCUGCUGCCCUUCCUCAACUGUGCCAGUUCAGCUAGUCCUUUUUUGUCCCUUUGUUCUGCGUAUCGUAAAUUCCUGCUUAUAGCAAAUGAGACAAAUAUAUCUUUCCAAUUCCGGGGUGCUCCGCAUUGCGUGUACCAAUUCAUGAAACCCCCCAGCCCCUGAAAAUUGAAUGUCCAUUGGUAGUCCAAUUCAUGAGUAUUCAGUAUUUGCCGAAAGAUUAUGUGCGUAUUUUUUUGAGGGGUUUAUUUUUUUUGAGGAGUUUAUGUGCGUAUAUCUUUUAGGAGAUUAUGUGCGAUAUAUGGUAUAUAACAUGAGAAAAAGGAAAAGCGGCCGCUAUUUAUUCAGCAUUCAGCCCAAUAUAACCCACCUACCCUGACACCACAUGGCCGAGUGGCCCAAUGUGUCCCCAGGGUUUCCAAGCGCGGCGGCUCAAGCAUCCGGCGUGGCGUCACGGCGGCAUCUGCGCUCCGGCUCGGUCUGCAGGCCGUGUUGGGCAGCGCCCGCCCGCAAGCCCAAGCCUGCAACUCCAUAGCGUCGCCUUCCCGUUCUUUGUCGCUCCUGCAGCAACUCCGUAUGCUCGGUUUGCUGCCAGUUUAUAGUAUUACUGUAACUGCAUAACCUGAUAUGGUUAAGUUCAUGAGCCCCGUGAGGAUUAAUUAAUGACUAGCAACCGAGGCUUGUUUCGAUUCUAGUUGAUCUUACUGCUGUUCACAUACUUGUUUAGAUUCAGUUGCUUAACUGAAUCCAGUUUAGUACUACUCUGUUACCUACUCCCUUAGUCCUGAAUUACUUGUCUUAUACGGAUGCCGUAUCUAAACACGUUUUAGUAUUUUUUAUUCUCUAGCACUGCAGUGCUAAUUUCUCAGAAUUAACAUUUUCCUAACUAGCACGUUGAUUUGGCACACAUAAAGUUUGUUAACUGUCGGUUGAAAUCUAAUCUUGUAAUUAUUAUUGCCACACAUAAUCGUUGAUUCAACUAGUGGCAUGAUUUUAAGCUAGUACAUGUCAAUCAUGCUUAUAGUUAAUGUUGGAAUAAUCAAGCUUUUCAGUUCACCAACUCCAGUAGUUGAGUUCAGUUCUGUGAAUGGAAACACACUAGACUUGUCUCCCUAAACUCCCAUCUCUCAGUUGUAGUUUAUUUUGUUUUUCUAUGAACAAGCAACUUAGCAAACCAUUUACUUUUUGCAUGUAUUGUAUUUUCAGUAAUAUGUGGUAGAAUCGAUGUUUUGGAAAUGAAUUAAUUCCAUUUUUACCCCCAUGAUUCACCAUUUUGACAGAUUUUACCCAUUUUUGAGAAAAUCCUCAAUUUAUACCCCCAUUUAUCACCUUUGUGGCACAUUUUACCCCCUUGUGACAGAAUUGACCCCCAAUUUGUUGCUGAUUUGACAUGCCACGUAGGCGGUUCAGUACCGUCAUGCUACGAUUGCCAAUACCAUUAUGCUCGCUCAGGUUAAGUACUUCAUUAAAUCACCACGUGCAAUCCAGGGCAGGUUGCUUGUAGCAGCAAUACCCUUAAUAGUAUCCCAUGUUUUGUACCUUUCUGGAAUUUGUUCCUCACCAUAAACAAGAGUUACACACCACAGUUCAGGACCAACACCAUCUAUCUUAGCAUCUAUGUGAUACUGGGAAUAACUUAAAACUUCGAGCUUUAUUAGAUUGUUCCAAAAGAGACCAAGUCCACCACUCCUACCAGAGCUACUAACUGCAAAACUACAAUGAAAAUCCAAAGAAGGCUGGCUAUUCAAGCAUUCAGUCAGACUAGCCUACCACGCCUCCCUACUCAUACAUGGCCCAGUGGCCCAGUCUCUCCUCAAGCCCAAUUCUGAAGCCACUACGAAAUUGGAACCCUAUCCUUUAAAAGGAAAAAAGAGAGGAAAUUGGAACCCUAACCACGGCACGGCAGCAGGGCCCGGCCGGCGGCACUCCUGCGUACGCAUCCGGCCUGGCGUCGCGGCGACGUCCUCGCCCUUCUGUCCUCAGCGCUCCAUCUUGGCGGUAGGCCGUGCUUGGCGGUGUCCAAGGCCCCACCAGGCGAGCGGCGUCAUCUCCUCCCGUUAUUCAGCGCUCCUGCAGCAACUGAGCGCGAGCGUCGUUGAGCCACAUCGAACACCAAGAAGAGACAUUGGAUGAUAUGUGGUAGAAUCCUCGCUUAUUUAGGCACCCCGUCUUUUGGAAAUGCUACAACAGUUUUAUCUGGAUUCUGAAGCAAUGAGUACCUGCAAAAAGACCAGGGCAGAAGCUACAUCUGUUGUGAGUUCAGACAGACUGAGCAGUCUACCUCCAAAGAUAAAGGGCAACGUCCUCUCCCGUUUGGAUGUCAGAGAAGCGGUUGGCACUAGCACCUUAUCAAGUACUUGGAGGGAUGCAUGGACAGAUAUGCCAAAAAUAUCUUUGCGCGAUAGAAAUUUUAUGCGAACCAGGUUCGUUACGUUGGUCGAUAUGGUGCUAGCACUCCAAAAGGGAACCAUAGAAGAGUUUGAUAUAUCAGGUAAAAAAAGUUACCAUGAUGAGCUCGCUAGGUGGAUGCUCAUGCUGUCAAGGAGAUCACCAAGGUCAGUUACAAUCAAGUUGAACUCAGGACCAAGGUAUAAGAUUUCCUCAUGCCUCUUUUCUAUCGGUGAUUUGAAGUUUCUGCAACUGGAAAACUGCAUCAUCAGCUUGCCCCGGGCAUUCCAAGGCAUCAACCGACUAAACAUUCAAGCUCCUAAGCUAGAAUAUCUUAAUGUAUAUGGGGACUUUGAAGACAUUAAUUUGGAGGCCCCUAAUCUGAAGGUGGCCAUUCUCUAUCUAGGUCACCAAGCUAAACUAUAUCAGUCUGUUCCAAUUGGGUAUGAUAAGGAAAACCAUGUCAAGAAGUCAUUGGGAAGCCUAAGUGAGAUCAAGACACUUGGAAUUACUGGCAGUUUCAUGAAGUAUCUAUCAAAAGGGUGCAUACUCACGAAGCUCCCAGUUGUGUUUACUCGCCUUGAGGAUAUUUAUCUUACGAUAUGCUUUUGGGACCAGAGGCAAGUCUUGACCGCUUAUUCAUUAUUUCAGAAUGCUCCUAACUUGAAGAAGCUUGCGGUGUGGAGUUACGCUUCGAGCACAUGCGAUCAGGAUCAGGCGAGGAUUCUAGAGCAUACCCUGCAAAUGCAAAUGGACCAUCUCGUAAUGGCCUGUGUUGAAUGUUUCCGGGGUCUUGACUACGAAGUCGAUUUCGUGGCAAAGCUACCGAGUUGGGCACCUGAUCUUGAAGAAGUGAAGAUAGAAUGGAAGGGUCAAACAGAUUGCAGCAUUGUUCUUGCCAAGCUAUUAGCUCUGCCGAGGGUGUCUCCCAGGGCCAAGGUCAUUGUUACAUUUUGUUAAGAAUGCUCCCCCAUCGCUUUGCCGAUGUAAUUUGCUGCUGAGUUCAUGUGAAUGUACCAGCUACGGCUAGCUGGUGGUUAUAUGUGUGCAUCUAAUGCAAAUCAUCAGGUAGAGGUUGUGUGUGUUGUCGAGGACAUUGUGUGGGAGUAUUUAAUGUGCCACCAGCAUGUGUUUUCCAUAUGAAACAUUUGAGGAAGUUUUCCAUAUAAAACGCUAUCAUCUUGUGUUUUUGCAAGC